Long non-coding RNA from Magnolia sinica, 1386 nucleotides. RefSeq lists it as uncharacterized. NCBI's taxonomy places the organism in Eukaryota, Viridiplantae, Streptophyta, Magnoliopsida, Magnoliales, Magnoliaceae. The transcript is spliced from 6 exons. The record is from RefSeq and is a predicted model, not a curated record.
UUAUUAUUAUAAAUUUAAGGCCAUGGCAACUUGAUCAGUGAGCAUUUAUGUUUUGGGAGGAUGUAAUUUUGAGAUUACAAAGAAAAACUAUAGAUUUGGCAAUUUAGGCAACUAUGUGUGAAAUAGUUUGAGGACACGUCUGCAUAUAAAGACAAAGUCAUUGCAACGUGGUCGCACGUGGCUGGGGAAAAUGUUGUGUUUUUGGAUGCUCAGAGACCCGUGUAAAUGAUACAGACAAGGUUAUGGCAAAUGCUGACAAGGGAUCGGACUUUGUAGGACAGAGCACAUGGGAUGUGCUAGGUAUACUGUGCACCCACAUUUGAAACUAGCCCUCUAGGAAGCGGAGUCUUCAACAGUUUGAGCAGUGGGGCCUAUGGUUUUAAUGAUCCUGUCAUCAGUUUGUUUGGGCCACAAUAUGUAUGGGCAGUCACCCGAGCUGGAGGGUUAUGAAUUUACUUUCUUCAUUUUAUCUUUGGCAAGUGUUACAUGUAUAUCUAUUCAUCACAUUCGACACAUGUAAAAAGGGGUUGGCGAAGUAUGGUUCCAUUAGUUCGUGAAGUUUAUAGAUAUGUUUACUUGUGAACUAUAUCAUUGAUGAAAAGUUUAAAAGUAAUGAAAUGAUUAAGAUGAAAACCGUUCUUGUUAUGAAAUAUAUGGUUUUCAACCCAGUCUCUCUGUUGGGCUUUUGUUAUGAAACACUAGUGCUAGUAGCUGGGAGCUAAUCAUGUCGAUAUUAUCUAUAUAUUUUGAAUUUCUUCCACUCAUUCUCUUUGGGUCUUGCAGCAAGAGUACAUUCGUGGAAUCAAUGCAUGGAAUUUUACUCUGGAGGAUUUGAAAGCUCAAGCUGCCAUUGACAAAGAGGGUGCAUGAUUGGUGUAAAAAUAGGCAGUGACUUAGACGAGUUGAUUUAUCAAGGCAUGUACUAGCAAUGACUGACAUGUUGUAGAAUCUGAGGAAGGAAAUCAAUGCGGUGCUGAAGAAGGAAUCAAAUUACUUUGGUGACAUUGUGAUUUUGCCAUUUAUGGAUCGCUAUGAGUUUGUGGUUCUUAAAACCAUUGUCAUCUGUGAGUAUGGGGUGAGUAUGUUUCCUUUUCUGUUUCCUUUGUUAAGUGUUUUUUUUUUUUUUUUUGUUGGAAUGAUUAUUUGAUUCAGAUAAGUUGUACAGUCCACAGAGAAUUAUUGAAUGUCAUAAAAAGAUGGUUUUGGUUUGCCUUGGAGUCCAAUUAGUGACCCAAGUUUCCAGACUUGGGAAUCUUUGAUUUUGUUUUACAAAUGGGUUGCAUUUCUCCACUGCUUUGUUACAAUUAGCAAGAAUUCUGCUACUUCAUUCAUUUAUUUGACUAUAAAGUAUAUUUUCCCUAAAAAUAUGAACUGUGUUCAUUUCUC